GUUAGGAAUAUUGGACAAUGGGCGAAAGCCUGAUCCAGCCAUGCCGCGUGAACGAUGAAGGCCUUCGGGUUGUAAAGUUCUUUAGCCGAUGAUUAUAAUGACUGUAGUCGGAAAAUAAGCCCCGGCUAACUUCGUGCCAGCAGCCGCGGUAAUACGAAGGGGGCGAGCGUUAUUCGGAAUCACUGGGCGUAAAGCGUGCGUAGGCGGUUUUGUAAGUUAGGAGUGAAAGCCCAGGGCUCAACCAUGGAAUUGCUCUUAAAACUGCAAGGCUCGAAUCUCGGAGAGGAUAGCGGAAUUUCCAGUGUAGCAGUGAAAUGCGUAGAUAUUGGAAGGAACACCAGUGGCGUAAGCGGCUAUCUGGACGAGUAUUGACGCUGAGGCACGAAAGCGUGGGGAUCAAACAGGAUUAGAAACCCCAGUAGUCC
Molecule: ribosomal RNA, 425 nt
Filed under: uncultured bacterium
Lineage: Bacteria
Description: partial 16S ribosomal RNA
Rfam family: Bacterial small subunit ribosomal RNA
Source: RNAcentral